Long non-coding RNA from Tympanuchus pallidicinctus (lesser prairie-chicken), 713 nucleotides. RefSeq lists it as uncharacterized. Lineage: Eukaryota; Metazoa; Chordata; Aves; Galliformes; Phasianidae. The transcript has 3 exons. The record is from RefSeq and is a predicted model, not a curated record.
AAUGUGCUCUGCUGGAGUUUUGCAAGUGAGCAUAGGAUAGGGGAUCCCUCAAGCACUGGAAAGCCAUGACAUGAUCUCCUCAGAGCCUUCUCUUCUCCAUGCUCAACAAUUCUAGCUUCCUUAGUCAGCCUUCAUAGGAUAGGCACCCAGAACUGAAUGCAGUACUUGAAGUGAGGCCUCCCAAGAGAAGGUUAGAGGGAAAGUAUCAGUUGCCUUGGUAAGAAGAAGCUGCACUUCUUAUGAUGAUAGCUCAUAUUCAGUAUUUCAUCUACCAAUACCCCCAAGGCCUUCUUCACAGAGUUGUCACUUUACUCAUCAUCCAAACUGAAUUAAUGGUUGAGAUUGCUUUGGCCCAGAUGCAGGACCUUGCACUGGGCUUUGUUGAACUUCACGAGAUUUGUCUGGGCCUACCUCUCAAGCCUGUCAAGGUCUCUCUGGAUUGCAUCCAUUCCUUUCUGUGCAUCAACUGUGCCACUCAGCUUGGUAUACUCUCCAAACUUUCCAAGAGUGCACUCAAUGUCACUGUCCAUGUUACCAAUAAUGCUGCUAAGUAGUGCCAGUUCUGAUGCAAAACCUCAAGAAACACCAUUAAUUAUUGGAAUUCCUCUGCACAUUGGGGAAUCGCAAUCUUUAACUGCAACCAUCCAGCCAAUUCCUUAUCCACUGAGUGGUCCAUCCAUCAAAUUUAUGUCUCCCCAAUUUAGAGACAUGUA